Molecule: ribosomal RNA, 447 nt
Filed under: uncultured bacterium
Lineage: Bacteria
Description: partial 16S ribosomal RNA
Rfam family: Bacterial small subunit ribosomal RNA
Source: RNAcentral
AGCGAACGCUGGCGGCAGGCCUAACACAUGCAAGUCGAGCGCCCCGCAAGGGGAGCGGCAGACGGGAGAGUAACACGUGGGAACGUACCCUUUGGUUCGGAACAACCCAGGGAAACUUGGGCUAAUACCGGAUAAGCCCUUACGGGGAAAGAUUCAUCGCCGAAGGAUCGGCCCGCGUCUGAUUAGCUAGUUGGUGGGGUAACGGCCCACCAAGGCGACGAUCAGUAGCUGGUCUGAGAGGAUGAUCAGCCUCACUGGGACUGAGACACGGCCCAGACGCCUACGGGAGGCAGCAGUGGGGAAUAUUGGACAAUGGGCGCAAGCCUGAUCCAGCCAUGCCGCGUGGGUGAUGAAGGCCCUAGGGUUGUAAAGCCCUUUCGGCGGGGAAGAUAAUGACGGUACCCGCAGAAGAAGCCCCGGCUAACUUCGUGCCAGCAGCCGCCGCGG